UACGUAGGGACCAAGCGUUGUUCGGAUUUACUGGGCGUAAAGGGCGCGUAGGCGGCUUGUCAAGUCACUUGUGAAAUCUCUGGGCUUAACCCAGAACGGCCAAGUGAAACUGACAUGCCAGAGUGCAGAAGGGGCAAUCGGAAUUCUUGGUGUAGCGGUGAAAUGCGUAGAUAUCAAGAGGAACACCGAUGGCGAAGGCAGCUCGCUGGGACGGUACUGACGCUGAGGCGCGAAAGCGUGGGGAGCAAACAGG
RNAcentral lists this ribosomal RNA (253 nucleotides) under uncultured bacterium. RNAcentral describes it as "partial 16S ribosomal RNA". It matches the Rfam family "Bacterial small subunit ribosomal RNA", at positions 524 to 776 of the family's 1533-position model. The record is from RNAcentral.